Molecule: ribosomal RNA, 949 nt
Filed under: Halodesulfovibrio aestuarii
Lineage: Bacteria; Pseudomonadati; Thermodesulfobacteriota; Desulfovibrionia; Desulfovibrionales; Desulfovibrionaceae
Description: bacterial SSU rRNA
Rfam family: Bacterial small subunit ribosomal RNA
Source: RNAcentral
CUGGCUCAGAUUGAACGCUGGUGGCGUGCUUAACACAUGCAAGUCGAGCGAGAAAGCUUCUUCGGAAGUGAGUAGAGCGGCGCACGGGUGAGUAACGCGUGGAUAAUCUACCUAGAAGACUGGGAUAACAGUUGGAAACGACUGCUAAUACCGUAUACGCUGGAAACGGGAAAGGGGGCCUCUUCUUGAAAGCUCUCGCCAGUAGAUGAGUCCGCGUUUCAUUAGCUAGACGGUGGGGUAACGGCCUACCGUGGCAACGAUGAAUAGCAGGCCUGAGAGGGUGGCCUGCCACACUGGGACUGGAACACGGCCCAGACUCCUACGGGAGGCAGCAGUGGGGAAUAUUGCGCAAUGGGGGAAACCCUGACGCAGCGACGCCACGUGAGGGAUGAAGGUUUUCGGAUCGUAAACCUCUGUCAGAAGGGAAGAAACUAGGUUGGUACAAUAUGCCAGUCUACUGACGGUACCUUCAAAGGAAGCACCGGCUAACUCCGUGCCAGCAGCCGCGGUAAUACGGAGGGUGCAAGCGUUAAUCGGAAUCACUGGGCGUAAAGCGCUCGUAGGUGGCUUUGUAAGUCAGGUGUGAAAGCCCACGGCUCAACCGUGGAAUUGCACUUGAAACUGGUAAACUAGAGUCCUGGAGAGGGUAGUAGAAUUCCCGGUGUAGGAGUGAAAUCCGUAGAUAUCGGGAGGAAUACCAGUGGCGAAGGCGACUACCUGGACAGUGACUGACGCUGAGGUACGAAAGUGUGGGGAGCAAACAGGAUUAGAUACCCUGGUAGUCCACGCCGUAAACGAUGGGUACUAAGUGUCGGAGGCUUGACCUUCGGUGCUGUAGUUAACGCGUUAAGUACCCCGCCUGGGGAGUACGGUCGCAAGGCUGAAACUCAAAGAAAUUGACGGGGGCCCGCACAAGCGGUGGAGUAUGUGGUUUAAUUCGAUGCAACGC